UAUUUAUUAUUAUUUCCCUAUAGCUGGCUAACACCAUGGUGGCAGCUCCAGAGAGUACACCUAGAAUGCUGUCCAUGGAAUAAAAAACAUCAGACUCUCCACCUCCAAAGAUUCUAUUGUCUUGAGUAUUGAUUGUGGUUAGCCUCAGGAAGCUUUGGGAAGUUUUGGAAAUAGCCAGCUACCACUGCUACAGUCACUUUCUACAUUGCUUGGCCAGAAGAGAAAGAAGAAAUAAUCUAGUUCCCCCCACCAUCUCACCCUCCACACACAGGAUCCCUGAGCCACGGCAUGGACACUGUUAUGUUAUGGCAUUAUGCCUCGCUGUGAAUUUGCAGAGCAGUGAGGGAACACUGCUAAGCUGCAAAACUUCUGAAUUUCCAUGCAGAAGAUGCAUCACUGAGACGAGGAACAGAGAUGAUGUCUCCUUCCUUUUGGAACCAC
Long non-coding RNA from Bos indicus x Bos taurus (hybrid cattle), 441 nucleotides. The record is from Ensembl. Lineage: Eukaryota; Metazoa; Chordata; Mammalia; Artiodactyla; Bovidae.